GGUGUAGGCGGAACGGUAAGUACCUUGUGAAAGCCCCGGGCUCAACCCGGGAAUUGCUGGGUAUACUAUCGUUCUUGAGGCAGGUAGGGGUCACUGGAACCUUAGGUGGAGCGGUGAAAUGCGUAGAUAUCUAAGGGAACGCCUGUGGCGAAAGCGGGUGACUGGGCCUGUACUGACGCUGAGACCCGAAAGCGUAGGGAGCGAACG
Molecule: ribosomal RNA, 207 nt
Filed under: uncultured bacterium
Lineage: Bacteria
Description: partial 16S ribosomal RNA
Rfam family: Bacterial small subunit ribosomal RNA
Source: RNAcentral